CACGUAGGCACCAAGCGUUGUCCGGAUUUAUUGGGCGUAAAGAGCUCGUAGGCGGUUCGGUAAGUCGGAUGUGAAAACUUUGGGCUCAACCCAAAGCGUGCACUCGAUACUGCUGUGACUAGAGUUCGGUAGGGGAGUGGGGAAUUCCUAGUGUAGCGGUGAAAUGCGCAGAUAUUAGGAGGAACACCGGUGGCGAAGGCGCCACUCUGGGCCGAAACUGACGCUGAGGAGCGAAAGCGUGGGGAGCGAACAGG
RNAcentral lists this ribosomal RNA (254 nucleotides) under uncultured bacterium. Its description in RNAcentral is "partial 16S ribosomal RNA". It matches the Rfam family "Bacterial small subunit ribosomal RNA", at positions 524 to 776 of the family's 1533-position model. The record is from RNAcentral.